This 13008-nucleotide long non-coding RNA is filed under the name Equus caballus (horse). Its description in RNAcentral is "lncRNA (ENSECAG00000056235.1)". The record is from RNAcentral. Lineage: Eukaryota; Metazoa; Chordata; Mammalia; Perissodactyla; Equidae.
CGCUCGUGACCUGUCGGGAGCUCUGUAGGGAAGGACCCGUCUUUUGUAAUUUCCUACGGUUUCCUAAUAAGGGUGAAAAUGCGGGCACCUCUGAACUUGCAAGCUGGGAGUUCUGAUACAAGUAAACUACAGAAUUUGUUGUUAUUCGGGUUUAUUUGGAGGCUUUUACUUGUCGUUUUUAUGUGUUCUCUUAGUGUGUAAAUUGGAAAAAAGGGUGGCAUCCAUAAAAUGACGACUUUGUAUAUGGAGGCUGGGAUAAGCAGUACCUAGUCUGGCUUGAUGAAAUCAGUGUAAUUUUAGUUUAGAUGAAAUCUAGUUUUCGUUUGCAUUAUCCAGGAGUGGCAUCUGGAGAGGCUCGGUGUAAAAAGCGGUUAAAGAGCUUCCAGGAGUGGUUAAUCCUUUUGUAAGCUAUUUGAAGCCAAAAUGGAAAUCAAGGUAUAUUGGAAGUAAAGUAAGAAUUUAAGCUUCAAAAGGGCGCAGGUUUUGUCCCCGUUUUACAGAUGAUGAAACAGACUGGAAGGUUUCCGACGCGCCGCGGGCCGGGCGGGGCUGCGCCGGCUCCCUCCGGCUCCCUCCGGCCGUCGCCCACCCGCGUCUGUUCCCAUUUCUGCAACCGUGGUUCCCCCUGACUUCUCGUGUGUGUGUUCCUCUCGCGCGCCCUUUUACUUCCUCUGUUUCUUUAACUUCCCCUGUUUUCUUGAUAGUUGAGCCAGCCUUUCCUUCCUCUCCUUUAAAUGCCUCUCCCUUAAAUGGCCGUAAAGAGAAAUAGACCAACUUAAGUUGAUUUUCAUAAGGAUUAUUUUCUUGCUUUAAGGUUUUAUUUUGGGGAGGGGAGUUCAUAGAUAUAAAAUUUCCUCUAGUAAGAGUUGCCUUCCGCUUCCAUAGCUGUUCAGUGAGGGUAGGAGUCUGUGUGUGUGUGUGAAUAGUGAAGAAAAGAGUGUGUGGUGAGCUGUUUAGAAUCAGAAACAGGAGAAAAAUAAUCUAUACAUAAACAAAGAGGUGCUCUAAAUGAUGCCAAACUCAGUUCGAAAUGACAGCGGAGCUGUAGGUUCUGUAAAACUCCGGAAACACGCACUAUUCCCCCUCAGUCCCGGCGCAGGCCUCAGUGAUGCCUUUCCUCAGAGGAUUUGGGGCUUUCCUGGGAUAAACCUGUAGCUUUAGCUGUCCCAGAGGAAGUAAUCACAGGGGCUCUGUGUGAAAUAAAAUAAUGCAUCAGUGUUUCCAGACUACAAGGCCACCCUGUGGGCCUCUCAGUGUGGCAGCACCUGUUCCCAGUUCUGCCAGCGGAUGCUGUUACUCUGGCUCUACACUCGGGGAACCUAAAGCCCGGUGAGUCACUUGCCUGACAUUACAGACCUCCAAGGAGGCCCAGGUUCUGCUGUUUCCAGUGACCUCAUCUCUGAGCAAACAUGUCUGGUGAUAAAGACUAUCAAAUUUAAAAUGAAAAAUAGAAUUCACUACAACAUACUCAUGCCAACUGACUGAAGUAUGCUCUCUUACCACCAAUUUAUCUCUUUGGUGUUUGUCUUAUUCUGCUUGGUGAACAGAAACUUGCAGAAAUUGAUUGGAAACAUAUUUCGUAUUUUGCUAAAGCAUUUGAAAUUACUCCUGAAGUCUGGUUUAUGUUUUAGUUUUACUUGAAAGUUGCUUAGAGAGUAAAUCUUUUUCCCCCAGCUCUAUUUAGAUAGAAUUGACAAGUCACUUUGUAUAAGUGCUGAUUUGAUACAUUUAUAUAUUGCAAAAUAAUUAGCUAACACCUCCACCGUGUCACAUAAUUACCAUUUCUUUUUUGUAGUGAAAAUACUUAAGAUCUACUCUCUUAGCAACAUUCAAGUAUGUAAUGCAGUAUUAUUAGCUAUAAUCACCAUGCUAUACAUUAGAUUCCCCCGAACUUAUUAAUUUUAUAACUGGGAAGUUUGUACCCUUUGACCUCUGUCUCCCCAUUUCUUCCACCCCCCCCAACCCCCCAAACCCCUGGUAACCACCACUCUACUGUCUGUUUGGCUGAGUUUGGCUUUGUUAAGAAGAAAACCACAGCCCAAAAUGGCAUCACUUGUGCCAAAAGCCCAUGAUACCAAACCUAGAUUUAAUACCUGAUCUAAUUGCAGUUUUAACUUUUCCCAGAAAUGUAAUCUUAACCAACCAGUCUGGAAUUUUCUGGUCAGGCAGUAGUAAGGUGAUCUGUUGCAUAGGCCGUCUCCAUCCUCCAGAGGAAGAAGAGGUAAUCUGGGUGGUAAAACCCAUGCCAGUUCCCUCCCCAAGAAGAGGUCCUGGCCCAAACUAACCCUCUCUUUUCAUUUGCUAAUGACUUCCUUGGUCCACCCUUCUUCCUAUAAAAACCAUCCCUUUUGUACAACACCUGGGAGUGCCCUUCUACUUUCUAGAUGGAAUACUGCUCCAUUCAAGAAUUGCUUCAUAAAGUCAAUUAGAGCUUCAGAUUUACUUGGUUGAAUUUUGUUUUUAACAGGUUUUUUAGAUUCCACAGGUAAGUGACAGCACACAGUAUUUGUCUUUCUCUGACUUUCUUCGCUAGCAUCAUGCCCUCAAGUUUCACCCAACUUGUCACAAACUGCAAAAUUUCCUUCUUUCUCAUGGCUGAAUAGUAUUCCUAGAUAGAUAGAUAGGUAUUGGACAUGAAUAAGAAGAUGUGACAUAUAUGUGUCACAUCUUUAUUCAUUCAUCCAUUGAUGGACACUUAGGUUGUUUGCAUAUCUUGGCUCUUGUGAAUAAUGCUGCAGUGAACAUGGGAGUGCAGAUGUCCUCUCAGAUCCUGAUUUCAAUUCCUUUGGCGAUAUUCCCAGAAGUGGGAUUGCUGGACCAUAUGGCAGUUCUAUUUUUAAUUUUUAGGAACCUCCAUACUGUUUUCCCUGUGGCUCUAUCAAUUUGCGUUCCCACCAACAGUGCACAAGAGUACUCUUUUCUUCACACCCUUGCCAACGCUUGUUAUCUGUGGUCUUGUUUUUGGGGGGGGGAGGAGAGGGGGGAGAAGAUUAGCCCUGAGCUAACAUCUGCUGCCAAUUCUCCUCUUUUUGCUUAGGAAGACUGGCCCUGAGCUAACAUCCGUGCGCAUCUUCUUCUAUUUUAUAUGUGGGACACCUACCAUAGCACGGCUUGCCAAGCAGUGCCAUGUCCGCACCCGGGAUCCAAACUGGCGAACCCCGGGCCACCGAAGUGAAACGUGCGCACUUAACCUCUGUGCCACCAGGCUGGCCCCUUUCUUGUCUUUUUGAUGAUUACCAUUCUAACAGGUGUGAGGUGAUAACUUGUGGUUUUGAUUUGCAUUUCUCUAAAGAUCAAUGAUGUGGAGUGCCUUUUCAUGUGCCUGUUAGCCAUUUAUAUGUUGUCUUUGGGAAAAUGUCUAUUCAGGUGCGCGGCCCAUGUUUAAUCGUGUUUGGGUUUUUUUGCUGUUGAGUUAGAUGAAUUCUUUAUAUAUUUUUUAUAUUAACCCCAUAUCAGUUAUAUGAUUUGUGGAUAUUUUCUACCAUUCUGUAGGUUGCCUUUUCAUUUUGUUGGUUGUUUCCUUUGCUGUCCAGAAGCUUUUUAGUUUGAUGUAGUCCUACUUAUUGAUAUUUUUGCUUUUCUUGGCUGUGCCUUUGGUGUCAUAUCCAGGAAAUCUGUCCCAAGACCAAUGUCAAGGAGCUUUGUCCUGUGUUUUCUUCUAGGAGUUUUAUGGAUCUUAUGUUUAAGUCUUUAAUCCAUUUCAAGUUUAUUUUUGUGAGUGGGGUCCAGUUGCAUUUUUCUGAAUGUGGUUAUCUAGUUUUCCCAAUAAAAGAGAUCUUCAGAGUUUUCAACAUAACAGCCACAACAAAUGUGGUAAUUACGUGAGGUGAAGGAUGUGUUAACUACCCUUAUUGUGGUAAACAUUUCACAAUAUAUAUGUGUAUCAGAUCAUCACAGUGUGCACUUUAAACUUACACAAUGUUAUUUGUCAAUUAUGUCUCAAUAAAGCUGGGGAAAAGAAAGAAAACAAAAAAAGGAUUGUUGAUUUCAGUGACAUUUGGUAGCUGGAUAGGGAAAACAGAAAAAGUGAUACACUCCAUGAUCUUCAAUCCAAACAUUUAUGUUAGGAUAACUUAUCCCAUAAUGUCUGUGUAACGCUGUAAGUCUACCUGAAAUCUACAAUUCAGAGAAACACUAUAAUUCUAUAUUAUUUUUUCCCCCCAAAAUUCUACCUUGUAGGGUGGUGAUUCUUUAACUUUUAUAUCUUGUGCCUUACCAUGAAGUUGGGAACCUGGAUCUCACAACAGUAGAGUUGUUAGUGCUGCCUAAAUAGCUAAGAUAAAUACAGCCAGUGGUUAACACAGGUUAGCAUAAGAGAAACCAUCUUAUAGAGGGGAACUACAUUGGGACUAUAACAAGACUCCCCCUUUUCCUCGUUAGCAAUGCUCUAGUUUGCACGUAGUUUAGAGAAGUACACAUCUGCUUGCUCUGCUAUUUUUGUAGCCUUGGCUUAUACAUAGACCUCCCUGUUCCGAUAAGGCAAUCACUUUGUUCUUUCAGCUUUCCUAGGGAUGUAAUGACCUUCGGGAAAAAAAACCUCUGCUAUCUGUCCCUGGUGAAGAGAGAAAGGGAUGCUCUGUGGUCUCAAGGACUACAGCUCCAGAUGGUCAACGUCCCGAGACCUCCCCUUUUCCAGCCCAUUUGCCCUAUAAAACUGCCUCACAAUUUUGUAGUUUUAAGAUGGUUCUUUAGGACACGAGUCCACCAUCUUCUCCCUUGCUGGCAGGGUGUAAUAAAAAGGCCUUUUCUCUCCUACCACCUUGCCUCCUGACUGUUGGCCUGUCUAGUGGUGAGUAGAGGACCCUCUUUGGGGGUUACAGAAACACAAAGCUUGCUUACCCCAAAGAACUUUUUAUCUAUAGGAUUUUAUUAUUAUUCUUACCUUAUAUAGUGUUUUGAGGACAAAAAAAAAAAGCGAGAGCAUUGUUGGGAGUUUUAUUUUUGUGGCUUAAAAGUAAUGAUCGUAUUAGUCUUUAAAAUGGCAGCAAUAGUGUUGACAUUUUUACUGCUAGAACUGUAAAACAUACAGAUAUGAAUAAUCUCAUCACCAAAAAAGUUGUGCUAAUCAAGUCUUUUAUUGGGAAGCUUGAGGAUACAUUUUACUAACACCUGCAUUCAUGGGACAAAGUUUGAAAGGCAGGCUUGAAGAGCAAGAUUUGCUAACUUUAUCCUGUCCUACAACAAAGUUAGAAGCUCUCACAAUUGACAAGCAGUCUGAACAGAAGCAUUAGCAAGGCUAGUCGGUGGGCUUUAUGUGUUUCGUUGCUCUGAGGCUAUAAUAGAAAACAUCAAAUGGGACAAUAUGUAUGUUAAAAGACUGCUUCAGCUUGUGUGGAAAAACUUUUAUCCAAAGUAGUGUGAACUUCUGUUCUGCAGAUGCCUGGAGUAUUUUUGAAUAAUGAAUUUAUCCAUUUAUGUUGAUUUGUCUUUGACCUUCAUACUCUGUUACGGUUACUACUGCCGCAUAAUAAAUUGAUCCAAAUCUAGCAUCUUGAAACCACCAUUUCAUUGUCUUCACGGAUUUUGUGGGUCAGGACUUCAGACUGGGCACAGCGGGGAUGGUGGCUCUCUCCCCCUCCAGGUCUCAGGUCUCCUCCCUGGGGCUGGGCUGGCUCAGAAGCCAGGACUGCUGACAGGAGCGACUGCACUUGGCUUCUUCAUCUUCUCGGCUUCCUUACAGCUGGUGUUCUCAGGGUCAUCAGACGUUCACGGGGCAGCUCAGGACUCACGGCUUGAGUGUUCUAAUGCAUGAGGCAGAAGCUGCACUGCCUUUUUUUUUUUUUUAAAGAUUUUAUUUUUUUCCUUUUUCUCCCCAAAGCCCCCCAGUACAUAGUUGUAUAUUCUUCGCUGUGGGCCCCUCCAGCUGCGGCAUGUGAGACGCUGCCCCAGCGUGGUCCGAUGAGCAGUGCCAUGUCCGUGCCCAGGACUCGAACCAAUGAAACACUGGGCUGCCUGCAGCGGAACGCGCAAACUCAACCACUCGGCCACGGGGCCAGCCCCUGCACUGCCUUUUAUGACCCAGCCUCCCUAUUGUGUCCACUGUAUUGGUUGAAGGGGUCAUAAACCAGCCCUGAUUCAAGAAGUGUGCCCACAGCAACUUCCCCCCACCCCAAGGGGGAGAGCAAUGUCAGAAGACUUGGGGCCAUAUGCUGAGACUCCCACUUACUCUAUAUCCGACUCUCUCUCACUCAGAUCCAACUCUAAAAGAAUCUUCCUGGGCUGGCCCGGUGGCGCAGCGGUUAAGUGUGCAUGUUCUGCUUCGGUGGCCCGGGGUUCACCAGUUUGGAUCCCGGGUGCAGACAUGGCACCGCUUGGCAAGCCAUGCUGUGGUAGGCGUCCCACAUAUAAAGUAGAGGAAGAUGGGCAUGGAUGUGAGCUCAGGGCCAGCCUUCCUCAGCAAAAAGAGGAGGAUUGGCAGCAGAUGUUAGCUCAGGGCUAAUCUUCCUCGGAAAAAAAAGAAUUUCCCUUUAGAUAUUUUCUCAAAGUGAAUACAACAUGUUCAUAAAAUCCCCUACAUGAGGUCUUAAGGCCACUGAAACCACCAUGUAAUGAUCUUUCUUUCUCAGGGGAAGCAGAUGGAAUUAUCAGACUGUGCCUACUGUUUUUAAACAAGGCUUGCCAAUAUCUGUGCCUGCUUCCAAGAGCUGGGCUGUACUUCUGCAGUGAGGGAGAGAACAUGUAAUCGUCCCUUGUGAAGAGAUCAGCUCUUUCAUUUAGGAAUCGUGCUUCUUGCUUUCAGGGUUUGUUCUCUGAAUAGACAUGUCCCUGCAGCUGGUCUGACUGAGCAGGAGCUUGUCUGUUAGAAUCUCAAUAAAAAUGGUGAAAGCGUGCCUGAGGGCCUGGAUUAGGGUGAAGCAAGCAAGGCACUUGCUCCAGUGGCAAGAUUUAAGGAGGCAUCAAAAAGCUCAGUAAUCAAGACAAAUAUUUUAAUGCAGUAUUUUAAAAAAUUAAAAUUAAUGCCAAGCAAUCCAGAAUAAAACAUCAAAAUUUUAAAUAAAGGCAGUGUAUUACUUUCCUAGGGCUGCUGUAACAAAGUACCAUAAACUGAGUGGCUUAAAACAGAAAUGUAUGGUCUCCCAGUUCUGGGGGCUGGAGGCCCUCAGGGAGAACCCUGUGCCUCUCUCCUUGCUGCUGGCAGUGGUGGCCGCAGUCUUUGGUGUUCCUGGGCUAGUAGCUGCAUCAUUGCAGUCUCUGCCUCCAUCUUCACAUCUGUGCCCAUCUUUUUCUAUUUUGUAUGUGGGAUGCUGCCACAGCAUCACUGAUGAGCCAUGUGUAGGUCCAUGCCUGGAAUCCAAACCCAUGAACCCCAGGCUGCUGAAGCAGAGCAUGCGAACUUAACCGCUACACCACAGGGCGGCCUUUCUUCUCUUCUUAUAAGGACAUCAGUCAUUGGAUUUAGCAUCUAUCUUAAUCUGGUAUGAUCUCACUUUAUUUCCAAACAAGGUCACAUUCUGAGGCUCCGGAUGGACACGAAUUUUGGGGAGAUACUAUUUAACAGUACAGACAGGAUGAGUAUUACUGGUUUUUUCUUUUGCCUCAAGAUCCAGUAUGGCUCAGCUUGGCGUCCCCUAUUUUAGCACUAGCAUGGGCCUGCCACUGCCAGGUGAGCUGCUAUUACAUCAGCUCUGGGGCCCGAGACUGAGAAGGCUGCACUGUACGUUCUUGCUGAGAAGUUUCACCCACUCUCCUUCAGCUUCCACAGACCUGUAUGAUGACUCUGAAAUCUCUCUUUCCAGACUCAUCACCCUCCUGAGUCCUAGACUCCUUUUCUAGUGCCUCCUGGACAUCCCAACCUGUUAGCCUGCAGGCAUCUCAAAUUUCACUUGCAUCUCACUGAGCUUUUGUGUCUUCUUGCCCUUUAUUGGCAUGAUCACCCCUCUGCCCCCACGACACAAGUGCUUGAGAGUCAUUCUUGACUCUGGUCUCUCACUCUCCCCCAGCAUCUCUCUUCCACCUCAGGGAUGAUUCUGGAUCAUCAUCCUCUGCAGUAGUUCACAGGUCUUUGUCAGGGGGUAUCAGCCUGGACAUGGAGAUGUUCCUAUAGAAUACUAUAUUGAUCAUGGUCUGCUUGGAAAAUAAGAAGUAGUGUUGUGACUUUGUUACAGGUUUAGAUACUAGGCAUAUUUUGGCUCUAAAAGUACAAUGAAGGGUAUUGAUAAUUUUGUAGUUGUCAGCAUGACUUGGACAUUGUUUUGAUGUUUGGUAUUGCUAACCUUGGUCAUCCUAAGCAAAUUCCUUCUAUUCUCUCUCAUCUGUAAGUGUUCCCUUCACCUCCUUGCUCUCAUAGAAACUCCACUCUCCCUGGGGGCACUGCUCCCUCCAGGGCCCCCAGCUUGGCAGUUCACAGGCCUCCUGCCACCUCUGCCCCUGGAGGCAGGGUGGAUGUCUCCUUUCUCCUCCUGGUUACUUCCAGACCAGUUCUCCUCCUCUCUACCCCUACACCUGUUUUUAGUCUUAUGUUAUCAGACUGUACCACAUUCUGCUCACCCAUAGUGCAGUCAUAUAUGGACCCCUCAUUUUUCGAAGAUUCUUAUCUCCAGGCUCACUGCCACUCUCUGAAGCAACUCCUGAUUUCAGUAUCCAAGUGGAUGAUCUUCUAAUAGCCAGGCCUCAUGGUUCCUUUGUUACGGAACCAAAGUGGGUCCACUUCUUGGGGAGUUGAAAUUAGAGCCUUCACCAGAAGUAGUUGUCACACACAGUUUAUUUGCUGCAAAUAAGGAGCCUACAGGGAAUUAUUUCUCAAAGCAUGGCUCCCCAAGCAUAGGACAGCAGGGGCCUUUUAUUUGGGAUGGGGAACGAAUAUUCAAAAGGGAGAGAUGGGUAUUAGCUUGCGCAGGCUCAGUUGAAAAACAUGCUUCCACAUACGUGGCAUGUUAUGGUAGUAAGGCUUAGUCUCCUCUUGGGGUGGAGACUUUAGUAUUAAAAUGAAGCAAAGGGCAACUUUAGGUCUUCUCUCAGCUCACCCGUGCAGUGCUGCUCCUGAGGUGAGGCUCGGUCUGCUUCCGGGUGGUGGGUGACCGCAUGUCUUAACAACAACAAACAAUUUGGAGAAACAGUUAAAUGCUGCUGAAACCUCCCUGGAGUUCCUCAGGGCAAUUAGUCACACUUAGUGACACCUUGACUCCCCCUCCUCCAGGGGAGUAGCCGUGUCCUCUCCCCUGUAACAGCCACUCAGCUCCCAGGGGCCUGCUCUAAACUUUGUUAUACUACCUCCUCUCCUUCCCCCUCCGUCUCGUUCUGCCACCUCCAAUCUUGGCAGCCAGCUCCUUCUAGCAGUUCUUUUCACCUCGCUUGUAGUCUCACCCUUCUGCUUACCUGGUUUAAACUCCAUGAUCAGUCAUUAUAGUCACUCCUUGCAUAACUCUCAGCUCCUAAUCUAAACUCACUCAGCAUAACAUAGCGCCAACUGGGCUUGCUCUAAAUGCAUGAGCCCACCCCCAGGUGGAGCUAUUCUGUCUGACAACCACACAUGUGCCUGGAACGUUUGCCCUCUCUGGAUAACAUGCACACUCUCCUAGGUAACUAGUUUUCACACCUGCCCUUAUUUCUUCGAACCUCCAGUGCCUCUCCCAUCCUAACUCCUUCAGUUUUCCUAAGAAAACAACAAGUGAUCUGAAUGAACAGAACUUCCAGCUCUCAUCACUAUGGCACCCACCAUCCGCCACUGGGCAGAGUAUCGACUCUGUUUUCCUGCCUGUUUCUCCUGUGGGUGGACUGUCUAUGUUUCUAGCUAAGGGUGCCCCCUUUUCCUGUGCCCAAGAUCAGUUAUCAAUCAGUUCAUACAGUGGUCAAUCAAUGGAUUAUUUUCAUCAGUAUACAACUGUAUUCUGCCUAAUUAAAAAACACAUUUCUCACAUCUCUUCCAGCUGCUACUCCAUUUUUGGGCUCUCCAUAGCAAACACCUCGACAUUCCUCCACCUCCUCUCAUUCCAUUCUUUCAUGGAUCCAUUCAAGUUGGGUCUCGCCCUUGCCAUGCCACCAAACCUGUUCUUCUCAAGGUCAGCAUGGCCUCCGUGUAAUGGUUAAUUCUCACACCUCACCUUUCUUGACCUACCAGCACCUAUGACACAGUGGCCUCCGAACUGGCUUCCCUGCUUGUACCCAUGUUUCUCUGUAGUCUAUUCUCAACACACAAGCCACAGUGAUCCUUUUAACGCCUAAAUUAGCUCAUUUCAUUCCUUUACUCAAUAAAUUCAGGAUAGAAGCCAAAAUCCAUACCACGUCCUAAAAGCUCCCCUGAACUGACCUCUCAGGAACUCUGGAAACUUCUCCUGCUGUUCCUUCCCUGGCCACUCCCCUCCACCCACGCUGGCUUCCCAGAUGUUCUUCUGACAGACCUGGGUGUGCUUCCCCUCAGGACGUUUCUGCAGGCAGUUUGCUCUGCCUGAAGGCUCGCCACUGUUCUUCUCUGCCCCUUCCCUCCCUCCUUCCACAUCCACCGCCAGAAUGUCACCCCGAAAGGUGGGGAGGCUGGUCUCUUCAUUUUCUGCCGUAAUCUCAGUGCUGAGGACAGUGUAAGGACUGUGUCCCACACAUCAUGGGCCCUCAUCCAGUAUUUGCUGAAUGACUGGAAGAGUGUCAUGCUUUGUCCUGACCCUGUGCCUUCCAGCAUGUUUUAUUGCCUUGGCCUGGAGUGCCCUUCCUCCCACCUGGAAAGUAUUCAUUUCUUUAGACCCACCUUUUUUGGUGAAAAAUCUUUUUCCCUAGGCAGUCUCUCUUUAUCACCCGUGCUUUCAAAUAUACUUAACCACAAUACUUUUAUUAUACUUAGGAAAUUUAACAUUGACACAAAAAUAUUUUCUAAUACAUAGUCCCUACUCAAAUUUCCCCAACUGUUCCAGUGAUGUCUUUAAAAAACUUUAAAUUGAAGAUUUAAUCAAGGGUCACACAUUAUCUUGUUUCUAAAAUUUGCUUAGUUUUUAAUGUAUCUUAUCACUAAUUCAUACCCACAAUUCCCAGGACAAGAGUAGAAUCCCCUCUCAGCAAGGUCAAAUAAAUGAGAAAAUCUAUUCUAUUUUUCUCUUGGAGACGCCCCUCCCAAAGGUCUCCAUCCAAACAGAGUUCUGUGCUAUAGGUCUGCCACACAGCUUCCUCUUGCGCUUCCCUUCACCAUGUUGAUGCAAAUAAUCCAUAAUCAAUCUAUACGUCAAAAUUGGGGUGAGUUUAUUAUGAGCCAAGCUUGAGGACUGGAGCUUGGGGCCUUCCUUCCCCAAGGAAGAAAGGGCACCAAAGAAGUGGGGUGUACCAAAUGGUUAUAUAGCAUCUUGGAACAAAGAGUAUACAUCACUUAUGACAGAAUACCUGUUUUACUACUGUCACGAGAUGCUUGGCUGGCACAGCAGGUCGGUGGUCACAAGUUGGAUUCCAUGUGUACUGGAUCCCAGCUCUCCCUCUGUUUUGGCUUACUACCUUAUCUUGGUAGAAAGCAUCCUCCAGUAGCUUCUUAUGGAAGAGUGCAUUGAAGAUGUCGCCGCAUGUUUUCCCUUAGAAGAGGACUUCCUCGUCACGUAACUAGUUCAAUAUGCCGCACUCUGUCCUGGGAAUGGAUGUUCCACCCGUCAAAGCGACUCGAUGUGGAUGAGCUGAUCACACACGACCACACCUUCAGGGCAAAUGUCCCUGGGUAUCAAUAAAGCUCUGCAUACCGAAAAGGGUGUAAAUUCCAGACCCCGCCCAGAUGAACCGGGUCUAAAGUUACAAAUAACAUGUAUCGUGGCCAAGUUCAUCGACAGGAACUGUUUCCGCAAGAAAGAUGCUGAUCAAAACAGAGUUGAACAGAAGACGGAGUAGAAGAAAGGGAAAAUGAAUGAUUCAGUUAUUGCUAACUCGUAGGAUAUAAAUAUUUGGCUUAUUUCCCAGGGAAGAAAAUGAUGAUAUCAAAGAAAUUCUGAAGGAAAUCGUGACAAUCAGUGUUUUCCACCCAAUGGGAAGAGAAAGUAGAUAUCACUUCUAGUUUCUAGGAAGCUGUGUCUUUUGGGGCUGCCAUGAAAAAAUACCACAGAUUGGCCUAAACAACACAAAUUUAUUUUCGCUCAGUUCUGGAGGCUGGAAGUCCAAGAUCAAGAUGCCAGUAGAUUUGGUUCCAGCAUAAUAUACAGAAAUGCUGAACAUUCCAUUCAACCACGUGGGACAAACUGGGAAUUCCUGAGGAUUAAAUUUCAGCAUGAGGAAUGAGAAAAUUCCAUACAAUUAAGAGGAGACAGGAAGAAGGAAAUGGCAGACCAGAGGUGACAUCACAUUUGAGGUGUGAUCAACAUCAUUGGUCAGCACCGAGGGGGGACAUUCCAGACAGUUCUGGAGAGCUGGACCUGAGGUCGGAGAGCAAUCUUGUAAGCAGAGAAGAAAGGAGCAUCAAACAGUGCCUAUUUUGGGGACCUUGACCGUCCAGUAAAUCGCAUCAUAGUACACCCACCGUUACAACGUUUUACAUUUGCAUAACAGUUUUGGUCUAAGAAUCUUGGAGAUUUUUCAAGAAACAGCAUUGCUAUUAUAGUUCUGUUUUAAUAUAAGUGGAAAUAGUGAAUCACAGGAUUAAAGUAACUUUUCAAGGCAUUGUUUAGUGCUAGAUGAGGCUGUUAGUUGGUAAGAAGUAUAAAAAUCAAGAAGAAAUGUACAUGAAUCUAACGACAUUGGCCAAAAUAAAGCAGAAUUGUGAUCCCAACAAGUUUUCACCUUCUUCAUUUUUUGCCUCUUUCCACUUCCCAACGACUCAGAAUUCUUAGAUCUCUUUAAACCUGCUCUUAGGAAUCUUCUAGAAUCAGAUUUGUGAAUUUCAACCAGUAUGUUGCCUCUUCCAGAGGUAUUUAUAUUUUAAGCCUUUUCUUUUUUUGUGAAAGAUAGGGUUGUCCUCAGUAAAAGGAAUUUCAAAUCAAAAGAGGGUGACAGAGAACCUUUUUGGAAGUAGAGAGUCCUUUCUAGCACAGUUCUGCUUGCUUCAUCUGUAAGUAUCGAUGGUUUUUGCCUGUAAAUAUUUCUUUAUAUGAGUAAGAUAUAAAAAGUCAGAGAGAG